UACGAAGGGGGCUAGUGUUGCUCGGAAUCACUGGGCGUAAAGGGCGCGUAGGCGGGCUCUUAAGUCAGGGGUGAAAGCCCAAGGCUCAACCUUGGAAUUGCCUUUGAUACUGAGGGCCUUGAGACCGGAAGAGGUCGGCGGAACUGCGAGUGUAGAGGUGAAAUUCGUAGAUAUUCGCAAGAACACCAGUGGCGAAGGCGGCCGACUGGUCCGGUUCUGACGCUGAGGCG
RNAcentral lists this ribosomal RNA (230 nucleotides) under uncultured bacterium. RNAcentral's name for it is "partial 16S ribosomal RNA". It matches the Rfam family "Bacterial small subunit ribosomal RNA", at positions 524 to 753 of the family's 1533-position model. The record is from RNAcentral.